This 460-nucleotide ribosomal RNA is filed under the name uncultured bacterium. RNAcentral describes it as "partial 16S ribosomal RNA". It matches the Rfam family "Bacterial small subunit ribosomal RNA", at positions 338 to 795 of the family's 1533-position model. The record is from RNAcentral.
CCUACGGGUGGCAGCAGUGAGGACUAUUGGUCAAUGGGCGAAAGCCUGAACCAGCCAAGUAGCGUGAAGGAUGACUGCCCUACGGGUUGUAAACUUCUUUUAUAUAUGAAUAAAGUGAGGCACGUGUGCCAUUUUGUAUGUACUUUAUGAAUAAGGAUCGGCUAACUCCGUGCCAGCAGCCGCGUUCAUACGGAUGAUCCGAGCGUUCUCCGGAUUUAUUGGGUUUAAAGGUCGCGUAGCUGGGUUGGUAAGUCCGUUGUGAAAGUUUGCGGCUCAACCGUAAGAUUGCAAUUGAGACUGGCAGCCGUGAGUACAGUAGAGGUAGGCGGAAUUCGUGGUGUAGCGGUGAAAUGCGUAGAUAUCACGAAGAACUCCGAUUGCGAAGGCAGCUUACUAGACUGCAACUGACACGGAGGCUCGAAAGUGUGGGUAUCAAACAGGAUUAGAUACCCGGGUAGUC